UUUCCGUAGGUGAACCUGCGGAAGGAUCAUUAUUGUAUAACCGAGGUGCGAGGGCUGUCGCUGACCCGAAAGGUCGUGCACGCCCGAGUGCCCUCACACACAUCCACCUCACCCUUAUGUGCACCACCGCGUGGGUCCCCCUUUGGCUUGUUCGGAGGGGGGCUUACGUUUUCACACAAACUUUGUAAGCAGUGUAGAAUGUAUUUUUUGUUUUUGCGAUCACGCAAUCAAUACAACUUUCAACAACGGAUCUCUUGGCUCUC
RNAcentral lists this unclassified non-coding RNA (263 nucleotides) under plant metagenome. RNAcentral describes it as "partial contains small subunit ribosomal RNA, internal transcribed spacer 1, and 5.8S ribosomal RNA". The record is from RNAcentral.